This 802-nucleotide ribosomal RNA is filed under the name uncultured bacterium. RNAcentral describes it as "bacterial SSU rRNA". It matches the Rfam family "Bacterial small subunit ribosomal RNA", at positions 128 to 927 of the family's 1533-position model. The record is from RNAcentral.
ACCCAUAACUUGGGGAUAGCCCGAAGAAAUUCGGAUUAAUACCCAAUAAUAUUUUCUUGAGGCAUCUCUCGAAUCUUAAAACUCAGGUGGUUGUGGAUGGGCAUGCGUAGCAUUAGAUUGUUGGUGAGGUAACGGCUCACCAAGUUGUCUAUGAUGCUUAGGGGGUCUUAAAGGAUGGUCCCCCACACUGGUACUGAGACACGGACCAGACUCCUACGGGAGGCAGCAGUGAGGAAUAUUGGUCAAUGGAGGAAACUCUGAACCAGCCAUGCCGCGUGCAGGAUGACGGCCCUACGGGUUGUAAACUGCUUUUAUACGGGAAGAAACCUGAUUACGUGUAAUCAGCUGACGGUACCGUAAGAAUAAGGAUCGGCUAACUCCGUGCCAGCAGCCGCGGUAAUACGGAGGAUCCAAGCGUUAUCCGGAUUUAUUAGGUUUAAAGGGUGCGCAGGCGGAAAUGUAAGUCAGUGGUGAAAUCCUACAGCUUAACUGUAGAACUGCCAUUGAUACUGCGUUUCUAGAGUAUAGUUGAGGUAGGCGGAAUGUGUAGUGUAGCGGUGAAAUGCAUAGAUAUUACACAGAACACCAAUUGCGAAGGCAGCUUACUAAACUAUUACUGACGCUCAUGCACGAAAGCGUGGGGAGCGAACAGGAUUAGAUACCCUGGUAGUCCACGCCGUAAACGAUGAACACUCGUUGUCUGCAAUAUACUGUAGGCGACUGAGCGAAAGCAUUAAGUGUUCCACCUGGGGGAGUACGUUCGCAAGAAUGAAACUCAAAGGAAUUGACGGGGGGGCCCGCA